GUCCACGCCGUAACGAUGUCGACUAGCCGUUGGCCCUUAUGGGUUAGUGGCGCAGCUAACGCAUUAAGUCGACCGCCUGGGAGUACGGCCGCAAGGUUAACUCAAUGAAUUGACGGGCCGGCACAAGCGGUGGAGCAUGUGGUUUAAUUCGAUGCAACGCGAAGAACCUUACCUACCCUUGACAUCCUCAGAAUUUGGCAGAGAUGCCUUAGUGCCUUCGGGAACUGAGAGACAGGUGCUGCAUGGCUGUCGU
This 253-nucleotide ribosomal RNA is filed under the name uncultured bacterium. Its description in RNAcentral is "partial 16S ribosomal RNA". It matches the Rfam family "Bacterial small subunit ribosomal RNA", at positions 793 to 1055 of the family's 1533-position model. The record is from RNAcentral.